This 84-nucleotide transfer RNA is filed under the name Cordylochernes scorpioides. RNAcentral describes it as "tRNA-Leu". It matches the Rfam family "tRNA". From Rfam's summary of the family: Transfer RNA (tRNA) molecules are approximately 80 nucleotides in length. Their secondary structure includes four short double-helical elements and three loops (D, anti-codon, and T loops). Further hydrogen bonds mediate the characteristic L-shaped molecular structure. tRNAs have two regions of fundamental functional importance: the anti-codon, which is responsible for specific mRNA codon recognition, and the 3' end, to which the tRNAs corresponding amino acid is attached (by aminoacyl-tRNA synthetases). tRNAs cope with the degeneracy of the genetic code in two manners: having more than one tRNA (with a specific anti-codon) for a particular amino acid; and 'wobble' base-pairing, i.e. permitting non-standard base-pairing at the 3rd anti-codon position. Lineage: Eukaryota; Metazoa; Arthropoda; Arachnida; Pseudoscorpiones; Chernetidae. The record is from RNAcentral.
GUCAAAUUGGCCGAGUGGUCUAAGGCGCCAGACUUAAGUUCUGGUCCUCUAAUGAGGGCGUGGGUUCGAACCCCACAUCUGACA